UACGUAGGGUGCGAGCGUUAAUCGGAAUUACUGGGCGUAAAGCGUGCGCAGGCGGUUUUUUAAGACAGGCGUGAAAUCCCCGGGCUUAACUCGUGGAACUGCGCUUGUGACUGGAAGGCUAGAGUACGGCAGAGGGGGGUGGAAUUCCACGUGUAGCAGUGAAAUGCGUAGAGAUGUGGAGGAACACCGAUGGCGAAGGCAGCCCCCUGGGCCGAUACUGACGCUCAUGCACGAAAGCGUGGGGAGCAAACAGG
Molecule: ribosomal RNA, 254 nt
Filed under: uncultured bacterium
Lineage: Bacteria
Description: partial 16S ribosomal RNA
Rfam family: Bacterial small subunit ribosomal RNA
Source: RNAcentral